RNAcentral lists this ribosomal RNA (145 nucleotides) under Paratrechina longicornis. Its description in RNAcentral is "partial 28S ribosomal RNA". It matches the Rfam family "Eukaryotic large subunit ribosomal RNA", at positions 306 to 453 of the family's 3401-position model. The record is from RNAcentral. Lineage: Eukaryota; Metazoa; Arthropoda; Insecta; Hymenoptera; Formicidae.
UCCUCUUAGGCUAAUACGACCACAAGAUCGAUAGCAAAUAAGUACCGUGAGAAAGUUGAAAACAGCUUUGAAAAAAGAGUUCAAGAGUACGUGAAACCGUUUAGGGGUAAACCUAAGAAACCUAAAAUAUCGAACGAGAUUCAUC